RNAcentral lists this ribosomal RNA (371 nucleotides) under uncultured organism. RNAcentral describes it as "bacterial SSU rRNA". It matches the Rfam family "Bacterial small subunit ribosomal RNA", at positions 527 to 896 of the family's 1533-position model. The record is from RNAcentral.
CGGGGGGGCAAGCGUUGUUCGGAAUUACUGGGCGUAGAGGGUGCGUAGGCGGCUUUCUAAGUCGGAUGUGAAAACUCUGGGCUCAACCCAGAGCCUGCAUCUGAAACUGGAGAGCUAGGGUUCUGGAGGGGAAAGCGGAAUUCCUGGUGUAGCGGUGAAAUGCGUAGAUAUCAGGAGGAACACCGGUGGCGAAGGCGGCUUUCUGGACAGAUACCGACGCUGAGGCACGAAAGCUAGGGGAGCAAACAGGACUAGAUACCCUGGUAGUCCUAGCCCUAAACGAUGGAUACUUGCUGUGGGGGGGAUUGAAGCCCCUUGUGGCGAAGCUAACGCAUUAAGUAUCCCGCCUGGGGAGUACGGUCGCAAGGCUG